RNAcentral lists this unclassified non-coding RNA (204 nucleotides) under Hevea brasiliensis (rubber tree). The record is from RNAcentral. Lineage: Eukaryota; Viridiplantae; Streptophyta; Magnoliopsida; Malpighiales; Euphorbiaceae.
AAUAAGCCACAUAAACUACAAUUUCUCUGUUCAUGCCAUUCAAAUGGGUGAAAAGGUCACAUCCAUCUUUGAGCGUGCCAUUGAUAUCUUUGGCCGCAAGGAUGAUAUGUCUGAUAACAGGGAUGAUGGAACUGUUCUGUGGCAAGUUGAUGUGGAUAUGAUGGAUGUUCUCUACACCAGUCUCGUGGAGUAUUUACAACUGGA